Molecule: non-coding RNA, 139 nt
Filed under: Anaerolineae bacterium
Lineage: Bacteria; Bacillati; Chloroflexota; Anaerolineae
Description: FMN sequence
Rfam family: FMN riboswitch aptamer (RFN element)
About the family: The RFN element is a highly conserved domain that is found frequently in the 5'-untranslated regions of prokaryotic mRNAs that encode for flavin mononucleotide (FMN) biosynthesis and transport proteins. This element is a metabolite-dependent riboswitch that directly binds FMN in the absence of proteins. In Bacillus subtilis, the riboswitch most likely controls gene expression by causing premature transcription termination within the 5' untranslated region of the ribDEAHT operon and precluding access to the ribosome-binding site of ypaA mRNA.
Source: RNAcentral
ACAAACCUUCGGGGCAGGGUGCAAUUCCCGAUCGGUGGUACAGCCCACGAGCCUGUAGUACCGAAUUAAUUCGGUACUACGGCAUGAUCCGGCGCAACUCCGGAGCCGACAGUGACAGUCUGGAUAGAAGAAGGUGACG